UACAGAGGUCCCAAGCGUUGUUCGGAUUCACUGGGCGUAAAGGGUGCGCAGGUGGUGGGAUAAGUUCGAUGUGAAAGCUUCGAGCUCAACUCGGAAAUGGCAUUGAAUACUGUCCUGCUUGAGGGUCGGAGGGGAGACUGGAAUUCUCGGUGUAGCAGUGAAAUGCGUAGAUAUCGAGAGGAACACCGGUGGCGAAGGCGAGUCUCUGGACGAUUCCUGACGCUGAGGCACGAAAGCUAGGGGAG
This 245-nucleotide ribosomal RNA is filed under the name uncultured bacterium. RNAcentral describes it as "partial 16S ribosomal RNA". It matches the Rfam family "Bacterial small subunit ribosomal RNA", at positions 524 to 768 of the family's 1533-position model. The record is from RNAcentral.